CCUCUGUGAAGUCAAGACCAGGUGUUUUGGGGCUCAGUGCCUCUGUGAAGUCAAGACCAGGUGUUUUGGGGCUCAGUGCCUCUGUGAAGUCAAGACCAGGUGUUUUGGGGCUCAGUGCCUCUGUGAAGUCAAGACCAGGUGUUUUGGGGCUCAGUGCCUCUGUGAAGUCAAGACCAGGUGUUUUGGGGCUCAGUGCCUCUGUGAAGUCAAGGCCAGGUGUUUUGGGGCUCAGUGCCUCUGUGAAGUCAAGGCCAGGUGUUUUGGGGCUCAGUGCCUCUGUGAAGUCAAGACCAGGUGUUUUGGGGCUCAGUGCCUCUGUGAAGUCAAGGCCAGGUGUUUUGGGGCUCAGUGCCUCUGUGAAGUCAAGACCAGGUGUUUUUGGGGCUCAGUGCCUCUGUGAAGUCAAGACCAGGUGUUUUGGGGCUCAGUGCCUCUGUGAAGUCAAGACCAGGUGUUUUUGGGGCUCAGUGCCUCUGUGAAGUCAAGACCAGGUGUUUUUGGGGCUCAGUGCCUCUGUGAAGUCAAGACCAGGUGUUUUUGGGGCUCAGUGCCUCUGUGAAGUCAAGACCAGGUGUUUUGGGGCUCAGUGCCUCUGUGAAGUCAAGACCAGGUGUUUUGGGGCUCAGUGCCUCUGUGAAGUCAAGGCCAGGUGUUUUGGGGCUCAGUGCCUCUGUGAAGUCAAGACCAGGUGUUUUGGGGCUCAGUGCCUCUGUGAAGUCAAGGCCAGGUGUUUUGGGGCUCAGUGCCUCUGUGAAGUCAAGGCCAGGUGUUUUGGGGCUCAGUGCCUCUGUGAAGUCAAGGCCAGGUGUUUUGGGGCUCAGUGCCUCUGUGAA
Molecule: long non-coding RNA, 833 nt
Organism: Oncorhynchus keta (chum salmon)
Lineage: Eukaryota; Metazoa; Chordata; Actinopteri; Salmoniformes; Salmonidae
Exons: 3
Source: RefSeq, a predicted model, not a curated record